GACGAACGCUGGCGGCGUGCUUAACACAUGCAAGUCGAACGGGUCUGCCUUGUUUUUUGCGGCUUGGGUUAGUGGCGAACGGGUGAGUAACACGUGAGUAACCUGCCCCUCACUUCUGGAUAACCGCUUGAAAGGGUGGCUAAUACGGGGUGUUCUGGCUGUGCCGCAUGGUGUGGCUGGGAAAGAUUCACUUUUGUGGUGUUUUGGUGGGGGAUGGGCUCGCGGCCUAUCAGCUUGUUGGUGGGGUGAUGGCCUGCCAAGGCUUUGACGGGUAGCCGGCCUGAGAGGGUGGGCGGUCACACUGGGACUGAGAUACGGCCCAGACUCCUGCGGGAGGCAGCAGUGGGGGGUAUUGCACAAUGGGCGGAAGCCUGAUGCAGCGACGUCGCGUGAGGGAUGGGGGCCUUCGGGUUGUGAACCUCUUUCGCCGGUGAAGAAGGUCCUGUUCUUUGUGGUGGGG
RNAcentral lists this ribosomal RNA (460 nucleotides) under Actinomyces israelii. RNAcentral's name for it is "bacterial SSU rRNA". It matches the Rfam family "Bacterial small subunit ribosomal RNA", at positions 28 to 468 of the family's 1533-position model. Lineage: Bacteria; Bacillati; Actinomycetota; Actinomycetes; Actinomycetales; Actinomycetaceae. The record is from RNAcentral.